This is a long non-coding RNA of Alligator mississippiensis (American alligator), 2352 nucleotides long. RefSeq lists it as uncharacterized. The record is from RefSeq and is a predicted model, not a curated record. NCBI's taxonomy places the organism in Eukaryota, Metazoa, Chordata, Crocodylia, Alligatoridae. The transcript has 5 exons.
UAUAAACCAGGCAGUUUGGCUGCAGGAGGCCAGGCAGCAACAUUGCCUGGCUGUAGCGCUGCUGUGAACACCUGGAGGAUCUGCUGAUCACCAGGGAAGUGGGGGUGCAGAGAUGUGAGAGCUGGGUUAUGAAUCCAUUCUCCCUUCCUAACUUCACCAACUCCAGCAUUCCAUACAGUCCCUCUUGCUGAUGCCCCUUGACUUCAAAAUGUUCUGCUCUGAUGGAAGCAAAGUUAGGAAUUGAGAGGCUUCAUCUUCAGGAAUGGAAAACUCACAUUUCUUGAAUCUCCUUGUCUUCUGUCUUGUGUUAGCCAUCAGCUAAGACUAUGAGGUAGACUGGAUCAGCAGCAGAACUUCUGUCUAAGAACUCUGGUUUCACUAUGGUGCCUCCCCUAACAUAAAACAGUAUUAAACACCCUGUACUGAAAGCAGUUACAGGGAACAAACAAAAAGGAAGCACAGGUAUGUGGCACACAAGCACCUCUUCCAGGCUACCUUCUUGUAUUCUAGCAUUGAUUAAUUAACCUAAAAAUAAUAAUCUUUUAGUUCUAAUACUUGCAGGGAAAUCUUGUGAAAUAGGAAGCACCAAUGCUUUAGUAUCUAAAGAACAAAUGCUUUAGUAUCUGCUUGAAUUUAUAGAGACUGGAAUAAUAGGUCAUAAAUGGGUGAAUUGUUCCUGCUCAUCUCGGGGAGAGGCAUUAAAUGUAGUUAGUAAACUAACUUCAUUAGUUAACUAUUUCACUGUUUGUUCAAAGCAUGGAAUAAAUGACAGUGCAUUAUGUAUAGGUCUACAAUCCUAUUCUGCUGUGUCACCCUCAUGGCAUAAGAAGAAAUGAGGCAAUGGAGCCCUUCAAAAAGGGCAAAGGCCCCAAAGGCAGAUCAAUAAUCUCUGUUCCAUGGACAUGCCAGAUAGUCCCAGCAAAGUCCCCUGUGAAUCAUGGCAAUUUAGUUUGUCAUGUCUUUGUCUGAAGUAAUGCAAAAAGAGCACGGAGGCAGAGGUGAGGCCAUGGUUAGUGGAUCUGCAACUACAUGAAUGUUUUUGUCAAACUUCAGGCACAUCUACAGUACUUCUGGGUGCCCCUGCUGUCAUCCUGGAAUCUGGGGCAGGAUUUUGACACAUCAACCUCACAGAAAAACCAUUUAUUUUUACAACGUAUGAGGUUUUAUUCUAGAGUGAAGGAAUGUGAUGAGCAUUUAAGCUAGGCAGAGAAUUUACUUUUCCUCUCCUAUCUUGAGAUGGUUACAAAAAGUUCAUGAAGUUUGUAGAUCAAACAUAGAGAUUGGCAACACUCUAUUUAUUAAUUUAAUUAAUGUUAUGACCUCUUGGACCUAAUCCUGUUUUGGGACAAUAUGUCCUUCCAGCUGUUUGGUGGUUGCACUAGACUUCAUUGCAAUAUUUGCUUUUCCAUCAGUUGUAAGAAAAUAAGAAACAAUUUCACUGAAAGUUUUCAAUAAAUAUUUUGUGCUUCUUCAGUUUGCACAUGUACAUGCAAAUAUACAAUAUUGAGUUGUACUUACACUUUUCAAAUCACACUUACAGCUUCACACCUGAAUACUACAGCUCAUACCUGUGUUUUUAGACACAAAAAUGCAGGGCUAGGUCAACUGAACAAAGACCUUAACAUUUUCUGCCUCUUCCCUUCCCCAUUCUUUAACCUGUGGACUAAACACACAGUGAAACAGCAUGUCAAAAGUAAAUGAGAUAUCAAAUAUUUGUGGCAUAGUGGAAACAUUGCAGUCCAGGUAGGCAGUUUUCAUAAAGAGGUUGCCUCUUUGUCAGAUUUUUCCAUAUCCCAACUUCCUGUUAUCAUGACCUGGGAAUCCUCCUCCUAAAUCCUCAAGAGUGUAUGUAUAUAGAUAUAGAUAUAGAUAUAGAUAUAUAAUAGUAAUGGUGCAUUAAUGAACAUGUAGACCUGCUCCGUGUGACCCAACAUUGCUGCUAUUUGGGUGGUGCACAUCUUCUCAUUGUGCACCAGCUGAGAGAAACAUGUUAAAGUGUCAAAAAGUGGAACUGAUUUUAAAACAGACUUAUCUAAAGCAAUUUUAAGGCCAGUUGGAAAAGCUUCUCACUAGCUGAGGCACAGCUGGACUGAUGAUAUGGAUGUGUACCCUGUCAGGAAAAGCAAAGUAUCGGUUUUAAAAAGAGUAGUGAAGAGAUGUAAAGUAGGAUGUAAAGAGAGUACAAAGAGAAGUGAAUGGAAACAAGAGAACUUUUUUUUGCCCCUGAGUACUUGCAUUUCCCUAGAAAACAUUCAGGGUAUGCCCUUGCUUUGAUUGAUAAUGUAUUCCUCCAGCAGUACAACCCACCCUCCUGUUUUCCUUCAUCACUGCAGCUGCACAUUGUGCUGAAGG